Molecule: non-coding RNA, 205 nt
Organism: Pelobates cultripes (western spadefoot toad)
Lineage: Eukaryota; Metazoa; Chordata; Amphibia; Anura; Pelobatidae
Source: the annotation of a GenBank genome assembly
CACUCACUGACGACACAUACACACUCACUGACGACACAUACACACUCACUGACUGACACAUACACACUCACUGACGACACAUACACACUCACUGACUGACACAUACACACUCACUGACUGACACAUACACACUCACUGACCAACACACACAUUCACUCACAGACACACACACAUUCACUUACAGACACACACAAUUACACACUUA